ACAGCUUGGAGGUUAGAAGCAAGAAGGAGUCAGGACACAAUUGGAGAAACUGGUUAUUUUACCAAGGCUUUGACUGGAAUGGUGCACUUUCCUUUAAGGAUCAAACAUGACUUAUGGAGCCAAUUAAAUCCCCUUGGGAAAACUGGCCUCAUUGCUUGUCUACACAGUUCCUGUCCAGGGUUCCUGACUUACGGAUGUGAGACUUCACAACCUGCUAAAAAUGAACUUUCCUAAUAACUCGGGACCUACCCAUCUAGGAAUAAACCAUCCUAUUCAUGACAGUGCCUGUGAAAGAUAAAGGAGAAAGAAUCAGGGUUGGAGAACUGGAAAAGUCUUGGCCAACCAAAUAGGCAACCCUGCAGCAAAGAUUGCCCAUUAGAAGAGUCAAAUGCUAGGAAGAAAUUGCAAACCCUACUAUUCUCACUGUGCUCAAACUUCGACUAGGAACUUCCACAAAGAGUGUGGCCUUGGCUUGAACAUUGCAGCAGCAGAUUAUGUAGGUGCUGAACUUGGAGUUUUGCACUUCUCACAGCUGACAGCAAAUUCUUUCUUCAAGGGAGACCUGAGCAGUCCUCCAUAUCUGCCAAAUUACUGCAUAGGAACAAAAAGGAGCCCUCCAUUCAUCUAAGAAGCAAAAUGAACUAGCAGAGAGAGCUUUGGCAUCAGGCAAAUCUGAUUGUAAAUACUUCUAGCAUAUAGUUGCUCUUACAUUGAGUUGGAUUGCUGGAUCAGGAAAUAUUAAUAUUUUAAAGACAUUUAUUACCAAACCAGUAUCAAAAAUAUCACUUUGGUUGACCAUGAUACCAGCAAUGGAUACAUGUAUAUGUUUCCCUGAAAUGCUAUGAAUACUGUUUUUCUGAGGCAUGAAGAGUGAUAAAAUAGUAUCACAGUUCCAGCAAUCACACCUACCAUCAAAGCAGGAAAAGAAGAAAAGCAUAAAGCAAGAGGUUUCACUUGAAUUUUGUCAAGAAAACAAAGACUCGUCCAAAAUUUUCUUUACAUCCUGUUGGUCAAAAAUAGUUUGAACUGGCAGCUCUAACUGCACGAAAGGUUGGAAGUAGUUUAAGAGUGACCACAAUUGAGAAAAAGAACAAGGAACUGGGCAAAGUUCAGAGAUGAGCAAAAGCACUAGUUUUCAUGAAGAGUUACACACAGAAUUAAUUAUGGCCUUUUAUGAAUCAAUAAUAUGCUUGCCUAUGUUCAAUCAGGAUCACAUGAUGACUGUGCUACCUCCAUCCGUCACAUCUUUAUUCAAUCAGGAAAAGAGAGAAGAGAGGUCAUAGCAACCAUGUCUAUCCAUCUUAGUAACAAUUUAGUUUUCUGGCCUGGCGCGGUGGCUCAGGCCUGUAAUCCCAGAACUUUGGGAGGCCGAGGCGGGUGGAUCACCUGAGAUCAGGAGUUCGAGACCAGCCUGAUCAACAUGGUGAAACCCCUGUCUCUACUAAAAAUACAAAAAUUAGCCAGGCAUGGUGGCGCAUGCCUGUAAUCCCAGCUACUUGGGAGGCUGAGGUAGGAAAUCACUUGAACCCAGGAGGCAGAGGUUGCAGUGAGCUGAGACUGUGACACUGCACUCCAGCGGGGGCAAAAAGAGCAAAACUUCAUCUCAAAAAAAGAAUUUAGUUUUCUGGAGGCUACUCUCACAGACUUAUGCUUAGCAUCUGUUAUAAGGUGAAUUGUGUCCUCUUAAAAGUAACAGGUUAAAACCCUAACCCCCAGUACCUCAGAAUGUAACUCUAUUUGAAGAUAGAGGCAAUAAAGAGGUAAUUAUGGUUAAAUAAAGUCAUCUGGGUGGGCCUUCAUUCAAUCUGAGCUGUAUUCUUUAAAAAGAGGGAAAUUUGGACACGUACACAAGACACCAGAGAUAUUCACACACAGAGGAAAGACUAUGAGGGGAUGCAGGUAGAAGGCAGCCUUCUGCAAGUUAAGGAGAGAGACUUCAA
RNAcentral lists this long non-coding RNA (1940 nucleotides) under Homo sapiens (human). RNAcentral's name for it is "HSALNT0354164". The record is from RNAcentral. Lineage: Eukaryota; Metazoa; Chordata; Mammalia; Primates; Hominidae.